Molecule: unclassified non-coding RNA, 148 nt
Organism: Macaca fascicularis (crab-eating macaque)
Lineage: Eukaryota; Metazoa; Chordata; Mammalia; Primates; Cercopithecidae
Rfam family: Metazoan signal recognition particle RNA
About the family: The signal recognition particle (SRP) is a universally conserved ribonucleoprotein. It is involved in the co-translational targeting of proteins to membranes.
Source: Ensembl
GCUGGGUGUGGUGGUGCACACUUGUGGUCCCAGCUACUUGGGAGGCUGAGAUGGGAGGAUCGCUUGAGCCCAGGAGGUUGAGGCUGCAGUAAGCUGUGUUCAUGCCACUGCCCUCCAGCCUGGGCAAGAGAGCGAGAUUCUGUCUCAA